GCCAGAGGCCAUGGUGGGGUGGGGGGAGGCCCCAGGACAGGGCCCUGGUCGAACCCCCUUGGGAUGGUCACUGCUCUGCCCUUCCGGGGCCCCUGCCUGCGCUGUGCCCUUGGUGCUGGUCACCAGGAGCCACAUAGCACUGUGGACAUACCGGGAAGGUCACCUCCCGGCCACCUGGAAGGCCUUGCUAGUCGGCCCUCUCCUCACACGUGGACACAGAAGUAACCGGCCGGCGAGCACCACGGGACCAGACCCAGCACCCCUGCCCUUCAUCUGACAGCCCGACUGCACCCCACACCCCACGCCCCACACAGGUCUGCGCCUCCCGGUGCCUGGGAGAUGUAUGUAAGCCUGGUCACACUGUGGCCACCUUCCAUCAAGGGUGCAGACAGACAGACAGCAGUCUGGGCACCUGCUAGUGAUCUGAGUACAUCCCCUGGACUGUGCACCCCGUCAGGAAGCGGCAUUGGGCUGGCGGCGGCUGCGACUGAGAGGCAAGGGACACACCGGGAGCGACGGGAGACUUCUUCCCCUCCACCCCCCUCCCAGCGCUGUGCCCUGAAACACUUCUCUGAUUUCGGUGGGGGUGGGAAAAAAAAAAAGAAAAAAAAUCCUGUUCCAGGGAUGGUUUCGGCGCCGGUGCCGGCGCGCCCCCUGCCGGCCACGCUGGGAACCGCGCGAGGGACGGGGAGGUGGUCCCUUUGCGUUCCACCUGCAGACCAGCCUCCCAGGUCCCACGUAAUCCUGAGACCCGGGGCACAGACUCUUCAAAUGCUCAAAAAUAAAACCCCCAAACCCCAAAGACCACCACCCCUCUGGGGGCAGGGUUCCACAGUGGAGGCGCUCCCAGGGGGCUGGAGGCCUCUGCGGGCUUCAUGGGUGAGGGUGCCUGCGCUGCUGGCCCUGCCCGCCUCUGGGGUGGGAGGGGCGGCCGGUCAGCAUCUGACCCGCCCCCAACUCUCCUGUGCCACUCGCCCCCCGCUCCCCCACCCCCCAAAGCACCGGUCACUCCUACCGGGGCACCGGCACACAGACCCCGUGUGUCCAUCCGCAUCGGCCUCACCCCUGGGAGGCCCCUGGUCCUGGAGAGGGAAGGGAGGUCAGAGAGCUGGAGGCGGGAGUCAGUACCCCCCCGCCACCCACCCCACCGGGGCCUCCGCUGUGAGCCCCAGCCCCACCCCGAGCAUCUUGCAAACAGGCAGAGAGGCCGGGCCGCACCCUGCUGCAGCUCUACCACCCAAGGGAAAAGGCUCAGGAAGCAAAGGGAUGGACUGGUGA
RNAcentral lists this long non-coding RNA (1278 nucleotides) under Ovis aries (sheep). Its description in RNAcentral is "lncRNA (ENSOARG00000025950.1)". The record is from RNAcentral. Lineage: Eukaryota; Metazoa; Chordata; Mammalia; Artiodactyla; Bovidae.